UCCGGGAUGUUCCUGCCAAAGGUCCAGAGUCUGCAUUGGAUCAUGAGGAAUCCUCAGGCAAGCCCAACUUGAGGGAUAUUCUACAAAAGAUCUGGCCUAUAGUCUUAAAAAAUUCCCCAGGAAUUGUUCUAGAUUGAAGAAGACAAAAGACACGUGACAACUAAAUGCAACGUGUGAUUCUGAACUGGAUCCUUUUGUUAAAAAGGAUGUAGUUAGGACAACUGGCAAAACGGAAAUAAGGUCUGAGGAUUCGAUGGUAGCGACGCGCUCACGUUGCUUUCCUGAUGCUUUUGUUGUGGCUGUGUUGAGGCCAUCCUUGUUUGUACUUGGGGAUGAUGGGGCAUCGGGUCGGCAACUGCUUUCAAAUGGCUCAGGAAGAAGUUAUUUUUAUCUGUAUUACAACUUUUCUGUAAGUUUGAACUCAUUUCAAAGAAAAAAGCUUUCAGAGAGUUAUUAAGUGUCUACUAACAGUUGGGCAUCUUAGAUCAGAGUUGUGGUUAAAAGCUAGCUUUACAAAAUAUGAUACAUACAUACAAUGGAAUAUAUUCAGCCUUAAAAGGGAAGGAAAUUCUGACACUUGCCACAACACGGAUAAACCUUGAGGACAUUUUGCUGAGUGCAGCAAGCCAAUCACAAAAGACAAAUACUGUAUGAUUCCACGUUAUAUGAGGUGCCUCGAGUAGUCGAAUUCAUAGCAACAGGAAGCACAGCGGUCACUGCCAGUGGCUGGAGGGAGAAGGGGAUGGGAAGUUACUGUGUAAAGGGUACAGAGUUUUAGAUUGGGAAGAUAAAAAGUUCUGGAGAUGGAUGGUGGUAAAUGGUUGCUUAGCAAUGUGAGCGUACUUAAUACCACUGAACUGUAUACAUAAAAAUAGUUGAGGUAAAUUUUGUGAUGUGUCUCUUAUAGUUCUUUUAAAAAUGGGGGGGGAGAGGUGGGGAAUAGGCUUUGAAGUGAACCCUGGCUUGGACUCUCAGCUUUAAUACUUGUCACUGACAAGCGCUUGUCAGUGGGGACGACAGUGCUGUCUCUGUGGUGCAUAGCUAGAGCUCCUGCAGGGAGCCCUGGAGUGCAGGGCUGGGGUGGACACACGGCACACACUCAUGUUGGGUGAACUCCUCUUAUCAUCGCUCAUCAUGGACUCCAUAGCUCAGUAAGGCUGCUGUUGUUUUCCCCAGUGCCCUCCCUUCCUAUCUUUAACAACUGCUGGCCACCCAAAGUCUGGACUUGCUAUCCUCAACUCUCUAGGAACUUCCACCAGAGACAGAGGUGAAGUGUGUCCCAGCUAAAGGCAUAUGUAAAAAUUUACAGGCACUGAUGUCUCUGGAGACAAGGAUGGAACUGGUAACAGCUUCUCGGGAGGGUAUCUGAGAGACUGGAGGGACACUGAUGGGAAACUUCUCGCUGCUAAACCCAUUUGUACCCUUUGAAUGUGUUUCCACUACAAGCUUAUCUAUUUAAAUAAAUGGAUAGUGUCAACCUAAACAACAGUCUAUCGGAAAGAAAAUAACAUGAUUCAGAACACCGCAAUGGGAAUAUUCAUGCCAUAGUAAACUAUGUGCGUAUUAGGGCAGGUAAAGAAAAAGGUUUUUAAAGAAAAAAUGAGAGGAUUGCAUCAUUGAGAUAAUUAUCCUUGGCUAUAACAACACUGACCAAGGGUGGCGUCAGUCCAAGGCUGGAGAGGCGGUUGCUGGGCUCUUGUCCUUGCAGAAGAAUUUGUGUGGUAAUAAGGCUGCAGUGGCCUUUCUGCAAAGCUGUGGUUUUUGCAGUCUUGUGAUAGUUUUUGUUAUCAGGCAUUCCGGCAUGAGAACCUCUCCCUUCAUGGCCUUCCCCAGCUCUACAUGUUACGUUUUUUUUUUUUUUUUUUUUUUUUUUGAGACAGUCUCACUCUGUCACCCCAGGCUGGAGUAUAGUGGUGCCAUCUCGGCUCACUGCAACCUCUGCCUCCCGGGUUCAAGCAAUUUUCCUGCCUCAGCCUCCCAAGCAGCUGGGAUUACAGGCGCCUGCCACCACGCCUGGCUAAUUUUUUUUUUUAGUAGAGAUGGGGUUUCGCCAUGUUGCCCAGGCUGGUUUUGAACUCCCGAGCUCAGGCAAUCCACCUGCCUUGGCCUCCUAAAGUGCUGGGGUUACAGGCGUGAGCCACUGUGCCUGGCCGUGUAUGGCUUUUUGACAUAAGUGACUCUAUUUUGACUCUGACAACUUUCACAAUAAUCAAAUUGCCAGAGAGACCCCUCCCUUUCCCCUUCUCUCUCACACCCUUCAGCCCACUGCCACCUUGCAGUAGCCCCCAGCUCUCCACUCAAACUGCUCUUGCCCUUGUUGACAAAUUCAACAAAUUUCUCCCUUGAUCUUCCUGACUGCUCUGUGGCAUUUUGACAUUUCAAACACUAUUUCCCUGAGCUUCACAGAAACCAGUGAGAUAUAUCCACUAUUAGGGGAAGGGCCAACGUCUGUCCUGGCCACUGAUGUAGUCCUAUGGCCAAGUGCAUUGCUUGGCACACUUGUGCCAUAUAUUACAUAUGCCAUUACACACACACACAAAAAAUCAAAACAAAACCUCCUGACCAACCUUAACACAAAAGUAGGCUCAACGAUAGCACUGGCAAACUCACAAAAGACAUCUUCAUGUGCAAAUAGCCAGAAAUAAAGGCAGAGGCCAUCAGUUUUUAAAUAAAGCAAUCUUGGUUGUGAUAUUGUACCACCUUUUUGCAAAACAUUACCGUUGGGGAAAUCGGGUAAAUAUCAAUGUUUAUACAGUCUAUUAUUUUUUAAAAACUACAUGUGCAUCUUCAGUUAUUCGCAUGUAAAAAGUUUAAUUUUAAAUACAGCAGGAAGUACAAACCCGAUCUGUCAGCUGAAGAAAACAUCUACCAACUGGAGGAUCAUUAAUGGGUAAAUCAAACAAAUGCUAUGAGACAAUCGGUCGGGACAUUUUUUAGUUGCAAGCUGCAAAAAUGCAAAUAAACCAACAUAGAAGGAGUAUGUACUGGGCAGCAGUAACUCGGGGCAGGUCACGCACCUAUGAGCCAGUGGCUGUAAGGGAAGAGGUGGAAAGCAGAAUGCCAAUGGUAUGGGUGGUUGACUAUAUUUGGAAAGAUCUUACAAGAAAGAAAUGAGCCCGCAGACAAGUUUUCCAGUUUAUCAGCAGAAAUUAAGGGACAGUCCAGAUAAUUCGAGGACCUAUAAUGUUGAAUAGGACCUAUAAUGUUGAAUAAGUAAACUGACUCGGCUCCAAACAACAAGAAACAAAUGCAGAGAACAGUGGAAUGACAAAGGCCUCAGUGUGAUGAUUAAGGAGGAGGCACCCAAGCAAACUUUCCAGCUGGACAAAAUGGCUCAGGGGGAAAAUAGUCUGGUUUUUUUUUUUUUUUUUUUUUUGCACAGAAGCCCCACAGGUUUAAAUCUAGACUCAAAGUUUAAAUCUAGAGAGGCAUAAGGGUAAGGGAGUGAAGAAAUACAGCAGAUUUGAGAACUGAGUCACAAAAAAGAACUGAGUGUGGCUUCUGGCCCAUGUUACUGAUUGCAAUCAAUCAGGUAAAAUUCCUACUACAUUUUUGAAGCUUAUUCUGACAAAAAUAAAACAAACUCACAAGCCCAGGUUCCAGAAGUGUCUGUUCAAAACUUAAAAUAUUCCUUGGGUCUCCAAUCGCCUAGAGGAUGAGGAUUGAGAAGGCUGCACAACCUCCAAGAAAUUCUUGAAUGUCUCUUUUGGGUGUGGCCGAAAAGGAGGAUGGAAAGGGAGGAUAAUGGAAAUGAAAGAACCUAGCAGAGGGUGAAGCCAGAGGCCACAGAGGACAAUGGAAUGGGGAGACCCCUGCUAAAGAAUGGAACCCAGUCCUAAACAAGCAACAUCUGCCAGCCUAGGUGAAGUGGCCCCACAGUGGCUGCCUACUGGGAUUUUGGAAUUGCUACGGGCCAGGAUUGGCAGUCAGAAAGGCUAAGAUAGACUUCUAGUACUCACCCAUACUUGAUUCUCCUCUUGUUCUGGGCACUUCCAAGGGACUAUGGAAUUUUUUAAAAUGACAUACUAGUCUUGCCCUUCAGGAGCUGUUAGACACACACACAACUAUGAAUUAAAAUGUUUCCUGAGCAAACGUGCUUUUUAGCUCGCACCAGAAUCACCUGGAGGGCUUGCUGGGGCCCUCCACAUCUCCGAGUCUGGGGUGGGGGCCACAUUUCUAACAAGUCCCAGGGUGAUGCUGAUACUGCUGGUUGGGGAUUAUACGUUCAGAACCACUGUUGCAAUGGAUCUGUUAGCACUUAUUCAGUUCACGGUGCUAGUGAGUGACACAGAAUGCACAGAAACCUUUACCCUCCACCCACCUGAUGAGUAAAUAGAGGCUAAAGCAAAAUGAUGGAAACAGGAUAAAACCAUUCCUUCAAUUUUGCUAUAGGAGUCACAAACCUCACUAAAGGCCAAAAGUUAAAACAAUCAGGACUGGGUUGAGACGAGUUGGCAAUACCAAUCAAAUAUCUAAGCUGGUAACUGGAAACAUGCCAGAAACAAGAAUCUCCAGCAGCAAUCACAGAUGCCGUCCGAGACAAAAGAACUGGGCUUCAAAAUGAUACCCUUCUUCCCACCUUGGCUGACCCCCACCGUACACGAUGGCGCUCUUAAGACACUCAUGACCGCAAUCGGCUUGCAAGUGUUGGUAAUAUUUGUUCAUGUAUUAACUGUGUUUUACUGGGCUUUUGCAAACAGCAGUUUUCCCAACUAGAGAGAGGCCUAACUGGCUUGAGGUCAGUGACAGCUAAUUUGUUUAGGACUGAAUUAAGCAAGGGUGUGUUUAAGAGGUGGAAUUUUGUGGUGGUCUUGUCUUCCUCAGGAUCUCAGAACAUACACAAUUUUUCUAGAUUCUAUAUCACGAACCCAAUUAAAACAUGAGAACUCAGUUGAGGAUGCAAAGAGGCUUACCUGGUGACCAGUUCCUGAGGAGGAAGAGGCUGGCUUUCUUUCCCCUAAGCCUUCUAGUGCUAUUGUCUUGACUCGCCUUCCUGUGCCAGUCUGAAUAUGGUUACCCAAACCAAUCUAGGCACGUCUUCCCUUUCAGUGUUGCUAAGAGCCAAAAAGUCCACCGUCCAUCCCAACAGUAACGAUGUGCCCAAUUACUUCUAUAAUCUCACGUUCUCAAAUGAAAUAAUCUCGAAUCUAGGUGAAUCUUGGUGGAUAUAACAGAAUGAUUUAAAAAAAAAUAGAAACUCUUUGGUAUGUGGCACAUUUAACAUUCUGUGAAAAUUCGGGUGUUUCUCAUCAACUGGUCCAGCCAUCUCUAGUAAAAGCAGCAGCAAAGUAAGAGAACUGAGAUGAACCAAAAACUGUCUGCCAAAAACAUAUAUAAAAUGCAGUUAAUUGAGCAUUUGGGGGCAGAAAGGGUGAAGCCUUCUCUGGGCUUUUGCCCUUUGUUGCUAGUUGAGGUCAGUGCGGGAUAGGCAAGAUGUUGGGAGGGUCAACACAAAGUAGUUGUGUGGAGAUCUCCCUCCCAGAAGGAUGCCUCACAGGGAAGGAACUUCCCAUUAAAGCUAUGUGGUCCUGAAGAGGAGACACUCCAGUUAGUCUGAGCAGCUUUUCUGCAAGCACAGGACUGGUUAAUUCUGGCCACUCCCUGUCUGCCUAGUAGUAGAGAGGAGUGGAGGGUCCAUUUUCUGGGGUUAAGAACUUUGUUGACUCCUGCAACUGUAAGGCAGCUUGAAAUGGAACUGCACCUACCAGGUGGGAACAGACCACACGUCAGAUAUAACUGGCACCUGCCUUAAACGUGUGGCCAGUUUGCUUUAAAAUUAGGGCACAUGCUACCAAGCAUCUUGCUGAAUAUGGCACUGCAGUGCUCAUACAGGGGUAUUCAUGGUAAAGGUGGAAGUGGAGCCUUUGUCUUAACAGGGAACCAACUGAAUUGGUUAAAAUUUUGAUCAGAUUAGCAGCAAUAUGCAGUAGUAGACUCAACCAAGAACCACAGACUUAGUUAGACAUAAUCUUGGAUAUAUUAUCCAAGGCUUAUUAUACAGAGUAUGUUCAGAGGCCUGGCAGCAUCAGCAUCACCUGGCAGCUUGUCAGAAACACUCACUCUUAGGUCCCACCCCAGAACUUCUUAAUCAGAAAUAUGCAUUUUCCCUUAAAUCCCCAGGUGCUACUUCUGCACACACAAGGAUGACAAACACUGACACAUACCACGGACUACCUCAACUAAAGACCAGUGUCAGUAAUGGCUCAGGGAGGAGAGAAACAGCCCACUACUAGCUACACCUACUAGUUUCAUAGUUCCAAGUUAUAUGUACCAAUCUUCACUGCCAGUAGAUCAUGUGUGGUGCACAGAGGCAGAAGACAAAGGUUGCCCUUCACAGACCUGAGGUUUAAGCUUCAGCUGAAGCUUCGGAGUAAAAGUAUCAAAUAAUUUUAUUAUGAAAGAUAAGCCAUUUAUUGACCAU
Molecule: long non-coding RNA, 6421 nt
Filed under: Homo sapiens (human)
Lineage: Eukaryota; Metazoa; Chordata; Mammalia; Primates; Hominidae
Description: HSALNT0098012
Source: RNAcentral